AGUUACCAGCACGUUAUGGUGGGCACUCUAAGGAGACUGCCGGUGACAAACCGGAGGGAAAGGUGGGGAGUGACGUCAAGUCAUCAUGGCCCUUACGGCCUGGGCUACACACGUGCUACAAUGGUCGGUACAAAGGGUUGCCAAGCCGCGAGGUGGAGCUAAUCCCAUAAAACCGAUCGUAGUCCGGAUCGCAGUCUGCAACUCGACUGCGUGAAGUCGGAAUCGCUAGUAAUCGUGAAUCAGAAUGUCACGGUGAAUACGUUCCCGGGCCUU
RNAcentral lists this ribosomal RNA (273 nucleotides) under uncultured Pseudomonas sp. Its description in RNAcentral is "partial 16S ribosomal RNA". It matches the Rfam family "Bacterial small subunit ribosomal RNA", at positions 1113 to 1382 of the family's 1533-position model. Lineage: Bacteria; Pseudomonadati; Pseudomonadota; Gammaproteobacteria; Pseudomonadales; Pseudomonadaceae. The record is from RNAcentral.